GUGGGGAAUCUUAGACAAUGGGGGAAACCCUGAUCUAGCCAUGCCGCGUGAGCGAUGAAGGCCUUAGGGUUGUAAAGCUCUUUCAGAGGGGAAGAUAAUGACGGUACCCUCAGAAGAAGCCCCGGCUAACUCCGUGCCAGCAGCCGCGGUAAUACGGAGGGGGCUAGCGUUGUUCGGAAUUACUGGGCGUAAAGCGCACGUAGGCGGACCAGAAAGUCAGGGGUGAAAUCCCGGGGCUCAACCCCGGAACUGCCUUUGAAACGCCUGGUCUGGAGGUCGAGAGAGGUGAGUGGAAUUCCGGGUGUAGAGGUGAAAUUCGUAGAUAUUCGGAGGAACACCAGUGGCGAAGGCGGCUCACUGGCUCGAUACUGACGCUGAGGUGCGAAAGCGUGGGGAGCAAACAGGAUUAGAAACCCGUGUAGUCC
This 425-nucleotide ribosomal RNA is filed under the name uncultured bacterium. RNAcentral describes it as "partial 16S ribosomal RNA". It matches the Rfam family "Bacterial small subunit ribosomal RNA", at positions 354 to 796 of the family's 1533-position model. The record is from RNAcentral.